UGCUUGUGAAAUGCAUGUCCCGGAUAAUGACGCCGCGUCAUUUUUCUUUCUGCCGUUUUCAGAAUCACUCGCCGUUUCUCGCGGAAACUACAGCAUUGCGCCGGCAAAUUUCGUACAGCCGAUAGCCAGAGUUGGCGGGGAAGAAAGUUAUGACGUCACAUUCGCCGAAGCCAGCGUGGACACCGCAGACUAUGCGGACCUCUACACCAGCCAGAACACUUCCGGGGAAGCUCCGGAGACAACGCCUGAAAACAGUCGAUUGUCGAAUGUAUUGUCCUUGAUUUGACGCAACCAGUUUGUUAUCUAACAUUUUCGGUGCUUUUACUGCUGAAAUUUCAAACUGCUUCUUGGUUGACAGUAUUUCGUCAGUAUCUGCGCCUUUAUACGUGAUGUGUAAUAUUGGAGCUGCAGAAAUAAGAUUUGGAGUUUUGCAUCCUUGACACUGUUGCCGCCUUGGUCAAUCGUUAUCAUCCACGGUAUAUACGUUUAAAAAGCGCAUUGAAAUUGAAACACAGUUUUUUUUUUAAAUCAUGUUUGCUUAUAUCUUCGUCCCUGGGCCCCGAUUUCUGGGAGGCACGCGUCCAAUUCUAGGCUUAAUGACAAUAUGCGGCAAUCAAUUUUAACCGUACUUUCUUUCAUCGACAUUCCACCUGCUAUAGGCAAAGCACCGGCCACGGUGGCCCUGUGCGGCAGAACACUUAUAGAUAUAUAGUGCCCUGCCGCUGCGGAUAUCCUAUGACAACAGCAGCUCUCUGAAAGCUCCAAUAGGGACGUUUCCUUGCUCGCACUAUUUCGCGUUGCCAUUGCCGUGCCCGC
RNAcentral lists this long non-coding RNA (816 nucleotides) under Dermacentor andersoni. RNAcentral describes it as "uncharacterized LOC126544328". Lineage: Eukaryota; Metazoa; Arthropoda; Arachnida; Ixodida; Ixodidae. The record is from RNAcentral.